UUCUCUUCUCAAUCUGUGACCCUAGAUCGCGAACGGCAACCAAUCUUCAUCGUGCUUCCGCCGCAAAAAUCCUUGGGUUUCUUCAUUUGAUUGUUAACUUGUGACUGCUAGCACUUUUGGGUUGCCAUUUCAAUUGUCUUCUUUGUUGCUGCUACAUUAUUUACUCUACUGAAACUUUGUGAUAGCCAGCCAAGCUAAGCUAAGUAGAUGGAAGCAAUUGUUGAAGUUGAAGAUUGUGAAAGCGUUUAAGAUUUCUUAUUUAAGUCUUGUAUUAGGAUCUAGUUUCAUGUAUUAUUAUAGAAUGUAUAUACAAACGCAAUAUUAAGA
Long non-coding RNA from Cucumis sativus (cucumber), 327 nucleotides. RefSeq lists it as uncharacterized. The transcript has 3 exons. The record is from RefSeq and is a predicted model, not a curated record. Lineage: Eukaryota; Viridiplantae; Streptophyta; Magnoliopsida; Cucurbitales; Cucurbitaceae.